This 801-nucleotide ribosomal RNA is filed under the name uncultured bacterium. RNAcentral's name for it is "bacterial SSU rRNA". It matches the Rfam family "Bacterial small subunit ribosomal RNA", at positions 8 to 852 of the family's 1533-position model. The record is from RNAcentral.
AGAGUUUGAUCCUGGCUCAGGAUGAACGCUGGCGGUAUGCUUAACACAUGCAAGUCGAACGAACCUUCGGGUUAGUGGCGAACGGGUGAGUAAUACAUUGGGAUCUGCCCAAGAGUAGGACAUAGCCUGCCGAAAGGUGGGGUAAUUUCCUAUAGUCCUAGCAAUAGGUAAAGCAGCAAUGCGCUCUUGGAGGAACCUUUGUUCUAUCAGCUUGUUGGUGAGGUAAUGGCUCACCAAGGCGACGACGGAUAGCUGGCGUGAGAGCGCGACCAGCCACACUGGAACUGAGACACGGUCCAGACUCCUACGGGAGGCAGCAGUGAGGAAUUUUCCGCAAUGGGCGAAAGCCUGACGGAGCAAUACCGCGUGGAGGAUGACGGCUUUCGGGUUGUAAACUCCUUUUAAAUGGGAAGAUUAUGACGGUACCAUUUGAAUAAGCAUCGGCUAACUACGUGCCAGCAGCCGCGGUAAUACGUAGGAUGCAAGCGUUAUCCGGAAUUACUGGGCGUAAAGCGUGUGUAGGUGGUUUGUUAAGUUGAAUGUUAAAUCUACGGGCUCAACUCGUGGGCUGCAUUCAAUACUGGCAGACUUGAAGAUGGAAGAGGUAAGCGGAAUUAGUGGUGGAGCGGUGAAAUGCGUAGAUAUCACUAAGAACACCAAUGGCGAAGGCAGCUUACUGGGCCAUUCUUGACACUGAGACACGAAAGCGUGGGGAGCGAACAGGAUUAGAUACCCUGGUAGUCCACGCCGUAAACGAUGAUCACUAGCUGUUCGAGGUGUCGACCCCUUGAGUAGCGAAGC